GACAGAGGGUGCAAACGUUGCUCGGAAUUACUGGGCGUAAAGGGCUCGUAGGCGGCCAACUAAGUCGGAUGUGAAAUCCCCAAGCUUAACUUGGGAACUGCAUCCGAUACUGGAUGGCUUGAAUCCGGGAGAGGGAUGCAGAAUUCCAGGUGUAGCGGUGAAAUGCGCAGAUAUCGGGAGGAACACCAAUGGCGAAGGCAGCUCGCUGGGACGUUACUGACGCUGAGACGCGAAAGCGUGGGGAGCAAACAGG
This 253-nucleotide ribosomal RNA is filed under the name uncultured bacterium. Its description in RNAcentral is "partial 16S ribosomal RNA". It matches the Rfam family "Bacterial small subunit ribosomal RNA", at positions 524 to 776 of the family's 1533-position model. The record is from RNAcentral.